This 1863-nucleotide long non-coding RNA is filed under the name Homo sapiens (human). RNAcentral's name for it is "long non-coding RNA NONHSAT199782.1". The record is from RNAcentral. Lineage: Eukaryota; Metazoa; Chordata; Mammalia; Primates; Hominidae.
GCGGGAGCUGAGCGGAGUGGCCUUGCCACCGGAGGGGAAGGGCUGCUGGCGUUAGGCCUGGCUGGGUCGUGCGGCUGAGCGUGAGGCUAGAAAGAAAAAGCGAUCCUCCAAGAGUGAGAACGGGAGAUCUGCCGAGGAUAACAACCUCCCUUGUGGCCGAAGGGCGGGGGAUCCCCACACGAGGGCUCCGCUUCGAGAGACGGCGACAAAGGAAAGUUCGUAGCGCGUUCCGGAGGCCCGGCCACCUCUGAGAAGGGAGACGACGCUGCUGGGUCCGCUGAGCGGGGCGACCCGAGUCUUCUCAUUCACAGGUUAAGGCUACCUUUCCAGAUAAUCCAACAGCUAAAUCACCAGUUUCCAAGGGCAUUUGCAUCACCUAUGGAAAGCAUCGGAUCCUUAUACACCAGAUGUUCUUGACAGCUCAUCCCGUCAUUCCCCCCUGCACAAAAGUUGCUAUACCAGCGGACAAGCAAGACAACUACUGAGCUUCUUUUGAUUGUCAAGUAGAUAUAAUAUCACUGCCAGCAAAACAGCACAAAAAGUGUCUCUUCACAGUAUCACUACCAGUUGGGACUAUGCUAAGUAAAUCAGCUUGCCUAGAUGAGGACCCCUUCUAUUCUUGGGUAGCCAGGAUUUGAAGGAGAUACUCUGACCUGUGCCAGUGGUAAGUGACUAAUACUUUUACACACUGAACUGGUCCUGGAAACUGAGAUGUCUUCUUUGUAAGUGAAGAAUAUACAACAUAAUCUUGAAGAACGGCACAGUGGUAUGGGCCACAAGCAUACUUUAUGUGUGUAACGGACUGAAAGACAAAUUAAUCUUGGUGAAAGGAUUUUUCAUCUCUUAUUUCUAUUUGCCAGUGUUAGUCAGUGUUCUGCUGGCUUAGAUUAUUACCUUUUUCUGGUUCCUUACUGUGUUUUAUUCUGAUGGGUCCUAGAAAUCCCUCUCCUGACCACUUGUCAGAAUCAGAAAGUGAGGAAGAAGAAAAUAUUAGUUACCUAAAUGAGAGUUCUGGGGAAGAGUGGGAUUCCUCUGAAGAAGAGGACUCUAUGGUGCCCAACUUAUCGCCUCUUGAGAGUCUUGCCUGGCAGGUUAAGUGCCUUUUAAAAUAUUCCACAACUUGGAAACCUUUAAAUCCUAAUUCCUGGUUGUAUCAUGCUAAACUGUUGGAUCCAAGCACACCAGUCCAUAUACUUCGAGAGAUAGGUCUAAGACUCUCCCAUUGUUCCCAUUGUGUCCCCAAACUGGAACCAAUUCCUGAAUGGCCCCCUCUGGCCUCUUGUGGAGUCCCACCUUUUCAAAAGCCUCUUACAAGUCCCAGCCGGCUCUCUAGAGAUCAUGCCACUCUAAAUGGAGCACUGCAAUUUGCCACCAAACAGCUAAGCCGAACAUUGAGUAGAGCCACUCCCAUACCUGAAUACCUAAAACAGAUCCCUAAUUCAUGUGUUUCUGGGUGUUGCUGUGGCUGGCUGACUAAAACAGUUAAGGAAACAACUCGUACUGAACCCAUCAACACUACUUAUUCUUACACUGACUUCCAAAAGGCAGUUAACAAACUCCUAACUGCAUCACUGUAAAGAUCUACCAUUUGCUCUGAUAUCUCUGAUGUUGCUAAUUGAGAAAGUGGUACAAAGUUAGUCAUUACACAGCCCACUAAUGCCUUCUCAGUCAAACUCUCUUAUGCCCUGGCAAGCCAAUGAGGAUACCCUUUGACAAACCCUGUGGAUAAAAUGAUAAUAUCAAGGUCAGGCAUGGUGGCUCACACCUGUAAUCCCAGCACUUUGGGAGGCUGAGGCGGGUGGAUCUGCUGAAGUCAGAAGUUUGAGACCAGCCUUGCCAACACAGUGAAACCCUGUCUCUACU